Molecule: ribosomal RNA, 245 nt
Filed under: uncultured bacterium
Lineage: Bacteria
Description: partial small subunit ribosomal RNA
Rfam family: Bacterial small subunit ribosomal RNA
Source: RNAcentral
AGAAUCAACGCUGGCGGCGUGCCUAACACAUGCAAGUCGAACGAGAAAGUGGAGCAAUCCAUGAGUAAAGUGGCGCACGGGUGAGUAACACGUGACUAACCUACCCUUGAGUGGGGAAUAACCUAGGGAAACCUGGGCUAAUACCGCAUAACACCUACGGGUCAAAGGAGCAAUUCGCUUAAGGAGGGGGUCGCGGCAGAUUGGCUAGUUGGCGGGGUAAUGGCCCACCAAGGCAGUGAUCUGUA